RNAcentral lists this ribosomal RNA (779 nucleotides) under Sordariomycetes sp. genotype 759 JMUR-2016. RNAcentral describes it as "eukaryotic LSU rRNA". The stretch from base 243 to 779 matches the Rfam family "Eukaryotic large subunit ribosomal RNA", at positions 1 to 547 of the family's 3401-position model. Lineage: Eukaryota; Fungi; Ascomycota; Sordariomycetes. The record is from RNAcentral.
AAUCUUUGAACGCACAUUGCGCCCGUCAGUAUUCUGGCGGGCAUGCCUGUUCGAGCGUCAUUACAACCCCUUAAGCCACUGUUGCUUAGUGUUAGAAGAUUACGCUAGGCCGGUCAAACGGUCACUGUAACUUCCGAAAUUUAGUGAGCGGAGCUUGGUAGCAUACUCCAGACGUAGUAAUUCUUACAUCGCCUGUACUGUGUCACUAGCAUCCUGCCAUAAAAACUUUUUUUUUCUAUGGUUGACCUCGGAUCAGGUAGGAAUACCCGCUGAACUUAAGCAUAUCAAUAAGCGGAGGAAAAGAAACCAACAGGGAUUGCCCUAGUAACGGCGAGUGAAGCGGCAACAGCUCAAAUUUGAAAUCUGGCCUCACGGUCCGAGUUGUAAUUUGCAGAGGAUACGUUUGGUGAGAUACCUUCCGAGUUCCCUGGAACGGGACGCCGUAGAGGGUGAGAGCCCCGUACGGUUGGAUAUCGAACCUCUGUAACGUUCCUUCGACGAGUCGAGUAGUUUGGGAAUGCUGCUCUAAAUGGGAGGUAAAUUUCUUCUAAAGCUAAAUAUUGGCCAGAGACCGAUAGCGCACAAGUAGAGUGAUCGAAAGAUGAAAAGCACUUUGAAAAGAGGGUUAAACAGCACGUGAAAUUGUUGAAAGGGAAGCGUUUGCGACCAGACUCGUAUGUAGUGAAUCAACUGGUGUUCUCACCGGUGCACUUUACUGCGUCACGGGCCAGCAUCGAUUUCGCCAGGGGGAUAAAAACACUGAGAACGUAGCUCCUCCG